AUGGAUGAGAAAAAAGGAUCAAUCAAUACAGACUAGGUGCUUAUCACAGUGUCUGUUGAAGAUUGAUUGUAAUGGUUAAAAAUUCUUGAAGGAGAAAUAUAGAUGAUAUCUCAUGGAUACAAACUAAUAAUCAUCUGUGAGGAUCAGGUCAUGCAUGGGGACGAUCAUACUCAUCUGUCUUACUCUAAGAGUUAGAAUGAGUGGUGAUUGGGCUACUAAUGUUUAGUAUAUCUCUCGUCUUCCUGUUGUGAAAAGUGUUUGCUAGGUGUAUACUUUUGAAUGAGUAUCUUUCUUGAUUGUAUUUUUUCUAUAACAUUCAAUGAGUAGGAAACCUUCAUCAUUUGUACAUAAAGUUAGCAUUUUGUAUACAAGCUGAUCAAUUUGAUGUG
Long non-coding RNA from Capsicum annuum, 389 nucleotides. RefSeq lists it as uncharacterized. The record is from RefSeq and is a predicted model, not a curated record. NCBI's taxonomy places the organism in Eukaryota, Viridiplantae, Streptophyta, Magnoliopsida, Solanales, Solanaceae. The transcript has 2 exons.